RNAcentral lists this unclassified non-coding RNA (353 nucleotides) under soil metagenome. RNAcentral describes it as "partial contains 5.8S ribosomal RNA, internal transcribed spacer 2, and large subunit ribosomal RNA". The stretch from base 1 to 120 matches the Rfam family "5.8S ribosomal RNA", at positions 35 to 154 of the family's 154-position model. The record is from RNAcentral.
GAUGAAGAACGUAGCGAAAUGCGAUAAGUAAUGCGAAUUGCAGAAUUCCGUGAAUCAUCGAAUCUUUGAACGCACAUUGCGCCCGCGAGUAUUCUCGCGGGCAUGCCUGUCCGAGCGUCAUUUCAACCCUCAGGGCCCGCCUGCUUCGGCAGGCGCGGCGCUGGUGUUGGGGAUCGGCCUAACCGCCGUCCCCCAAAUACAGUGGCGGUCUCGCUGCAGCCUCCCCUGCGUAGUAGCAACACUCGCAUGCGGAGCGCGGCGCGGCCACGCCGUAAAACCCCCGACUUUCUGAACGUUGACCUCGGAUCAGGUAGGAAUACCCGCUGAACUUAAGCAUAUCAAUAAGCGGAGGA